RNAcentral lists this ribosomal RNA (804 nucleotides) under Bacillus subtilis. RNAcentral's name for it is "bacterial SSU rRNA". It matches the Rfam family "Bacterial small subunit ribosomal RNA", at positions 10 to 796 of the family's 1533-position model. Lineage: Bacteria; Bacillati; Bacillota; Bacilli; Caryophanales; Bacillaceae. The record is from RNAcentral.
AGUUUGAUCCUGGCUCAGGACGAACGCUGGCGGCGUGCCUAAUACAUGCAAGUCGAGCGGACAGAUGGGAGCUUGCUCCCUGAUGUUAGCGGCGGACGGGUGAGUAACACGUGGGUAACCUGCCUGUAAGACUGGGAUAACUCCGGGAAACCGGGGCUAAUACCGGAUGGUUGUUUGAACCGCAUGGUUCAAACAUAAAAGGUGGCUUCGGCUACCACUUACAGAUGGACCCGCGGCGCAUUAGCUAGUUGGUGAGGUAAYGGCUCACCAAGGCRACGAUGCGUAGCCGACCUGAGAGGGUGAUCGGCCACACUGGGACUGAGACACGGCCCAGACUCCUACGGGAGGCAGCAGUAGGGAAUCUUCCGCAAUGGACGAAAGUCUGACGGAGCAACGCCGCGUGAGUGAUGAAGGUUUUCGGAUCGUAAAGCUCUGUUGUUAGGGAAGAACAAGURCCGUUCGAAYAGGGCGGUACCUUGACGGUACCUAACCAGAAAGCCACGGCUAACUACGUGCCAGCAGCCGCGGUAAUACGUAGGUGGCAAGCGUUGUCCGGAAUUAUUGGGCGUAAAGGGCUCGCAGGCGGUUUCUUAAGUCUGAUGUGAAAGCCCCCGGCUCAACCGGGGAGGGUCAUUGGAAACUGGGGAACUUGAGUGCAGAAGAGGAGAGUGGAAUUCCACGUGUAGCGGUGAAAUGCGUAGAGAUGUGGAGGAACACCAGUGGCGAAGGCGACUCUCUGGUCUGUAACUGACGCUGAGGAGCGAAAGCGUGGGGAGCGAACAGGAUUAGAUACCCUGGUAGUCC